CCACGGGUGAGUAACACGUAUGCAAUCCACCUGUAACAGGGGGAGUAACCCGGAGAAAUCCGGACUAAUACCCCAUAAUAUGGGCGCUCCGCAUGGAGAGUCCAUUAAAGAGAGCAAUCUUGGUUACAGACGAGCAUGCGCUCCAUUAGCCAGUUGGCGGGGUAACGGCCCACCAAGGCGACGAUAGAUAGGGGUUCUGAGAGGAAGGUCCCCCACAUUGGAACUGAGACACGGUCCAA
This 239-nucleotide ribosomal RNA is filed under the name uncultured bacterium. Its description in RNAcentral is "partial 16S ribosomal RNA". It matches the Rfam family "Bacterial small subunit ribosomal RNA", at positions 102 to 334 of the family's 1533-position model. The record is from RNAcentral.